CGGACUACGACGACGACGGCGACGACGGCGACGACGACGACACGAGGACGACAUGUUGACGUCGGAAAAUAAGAAAAAAAGUCUAUACAAGGAGCACCACCACCGUCACGAUCAUCUUCGUUAUCGUCAUCAUCAUGAGGGGUUCGGCGUGCAGUUACACCUAUAUUUCUUAUAACCAUGUGACCUGAAAAUACAAGAAGGUAGAAGGAAGGAAAAAAAUAAAAUAAAAUAAAAAUAAAAAUAGCGAGGGUAAGAACCUGCUCGAGUUGACGUGGAAUGCCCCAUCGGUAUAUGUAUAUAUAUACACCUCUUGCAUGUACAUAUGUUGUUGGAAUCGGUUGGAAAGCUUAAAAGCAGGUAUGAGGUAGGCAGGCAGGCAGGCAAGCAGGCGAUCAGGUAUAGAGCCUUCAGGUAUAAUAACGGAGAAGAAGGAGGUGAAGGAGGAGGAGGAGUAGGAUGGCUGCAAGACCCGUGGAAACCGGGAACUGAUCCAGGAAUGCAUUCACGCACCUGACGCGCCCCGCUUUAUAGAGCUAUAGGAUAUCAAUGACGUAGUUGCACGCUUGUAAUUCUAGAAGACAAAUUAUCGACGCAUCAUUGGACCCGAGUGUAAACUGUAAAUUAAUGAAAUACAUAUUACAAACCGAAA
Long non-coding RNA from Athalia rosae (coleseed sawfly), 649 nucleotides. RefSeq lists it as uncharacterized. The record is from RefSeq and is a predicted model, not a curated record. The transcript has 3 exons. NCBI's taxonomy places the organism in Eukaryota, Metazoa, Arthropoda, Insecta, Hymenoptera, Athaliidae.